GCUCAGGACGAACGCUGGCGGCGUGCCUAAGCUUAUGCAAGUCGAACGCGAAAGGCUCCUUCGGGAGCCGAGUAGAGUGGCAGACGGGUGAGUAACGCGUGGGUAACGUGCCCCAAUCCUGGGAAUAACCCUCGGAAACGAGGGCUAAUACCGAAUGUGGCCCCCGAUCGGAUGAUCGGUGGCUAAAGGUGGCCUCUUCUAUGCUGCCGGGUUGGGAUCGGCCCGCGUCCCAUUAGCUAGUUGGUGAGGUAACGGCCCACCAAGGCAACGAUGGGUAGCCGGCCUGAGAGGGUGUCCGGCCACACUGGCACUGAGACAAGGGCCAGUCCCCUAUGGGAGGCGCAGGCGGGAAUAGUUCCCAAUGGGCGAAAGUCUGAGGACGCGACGCCGCGUGAGCGAAGAAGGCCUUCGGGUUGUAAAGCUCUGUCAGGAGGGAAGAAGGCGCUGGGUGUUAAUAGCACCAAGCGUUGACGGUACUUCCAGAGGAAGCCCCGGCUAAAUACGUGCCAGCAGCCGCGGUAAUACGUAUGGGGCAAGCGUUGUCCGGAUUAACUGGGCGUAAAGGGCACGCAGGCGGUUCGUUUAGUCGAAGGUGAAAUCCCUGGGCUCAACUCAGGAACUGCCUUCGAUACUGGCGAACUAGAGUGGCGUAGAGGAAAGCGGAACUCCUGGUGUAACGGUGGAAUGUGUAGAUAUCAGGAGGAACACCGGUGGCGAAGGCGGCUUUCUGGACGCACACUGACGCUCAGGUGCGAAAGCGUGGGUAGCAAACAGGAUUAGAUACCCUGGUAGUCCACGCCGUAAACGAUGGGUACUAGGUGUCGGGGGUAUCGAUCCCCUCGGUGCCGAAGUCAACGCAUUAAGUACCCCGCCUGGGGAGUAUGGUCGCAAGGCUGAAACUCAAAGGAAUUGACGGGUCCCCGCACAAGCGGUGGAGCAUGUGGUUUAAUUCGACGCAACGCGAAGAACCUUACCUGGGCUUGACAUGCAUUGGGACAGCCCGCUCGGAAACAGCGUCUCUCCUUCGGGAGUCCUUGCACAGGUGCUGCAUGGCCGUCGUCAGCUCGUGUCGUGAGAUGUCGGGUUAAGUCCCUCAACGAGCGCAACCCCUUCGUUACUAGUUGCCAUCAGUUCGGCUGGGCACUCUAGUGA
RNAcentral lists this ribosomal RNA (1152 nucleotides) under uncultured organism. RNAcentral's name for it is "bacterial SSU rRNA". It matches the Rfam family "Bacterial small subunit ribosomal RNA", at positions 22 to 1146 of the family's 1533-position model. The record is from RNAcentral.